GAUGAACGCUGGCGGCGUGCCUAAUACAUGCAAGUCGAGCGAACAGACGAGGAGCUUGCUCCUUUGACGUUAGCGGCGGACGGGUGAGUAACACGUAGGUAACCUACCUAUAAGACUGGGAUAAUUUCGGGAAACCGGAGCUAAUACCGGAUAAUAUUUCGUACCGCAUGGUUCGAUAGUGAAAGAUGGCUUUGCUAUCACUUAUAGAUGGACCUGCGCCGUAUUAGCUAGUUGGUAAGGUAACGGCUUACCAAGGCAACGAUACGUAGCCGACCUGAGAGGGUGAUCGGCCACACUGGAACUGAGACACGGUCCAGACUCCUACGGGAGGCAGCAGUAGGGAAUCUUCCGCAAUGGGCGAAAGCCUGACGGAGCAACGCCGCGUGAGUGAUGAAGGUCUUCGGAUCGUAAAACUCUGUUAUUAGGGAAGAACAAACGUGUAAGUAACUGUGCACGUCUUGACGGUACCUAAUCAGAAAGCCACGGCUAACUACGUG
This 497-nucleotide ribosomal RNA is filed under the name uncultured bacterium. Its description in RNAcentral is "partial 16S ribosomal RNA". It matches the Rfam family "Bacterial small subunit ribosomal RNA", at positions 28 to 507 of the family's 1533-position model. The record is from RNAcentral.